AUUGAACGCUGGCGGCAGGCUUAACACAUGCAAGUCGAGCGGAGUGAUGGUGCUUGCACUAUCACUUAGCGGCGGACGGGUGAGUAAUGCUUAGGAAUCUGCCUAUUAGUGGGGGACAACAUCUCGAAAGGGAUGCUAAUACCGCAUACGUCCUACGGGAGAAAGCAGGGGAUCACUUGUGACCUUGCGCUAAUAGAUGAGCCUAAGUCGGACUAGCUAGUUGGUGGGGUAAAGGCCUACCAAGGCGACGAUCUGUAGCGGGUCUGAGAGGAUGAUCCGCCACACUGGGCCGGUGACACGGCCCAGACUCCUACGGGAAGCAGCAGUGGGGAAUAUUGGACAAUGGGGGGAACCCUGAUCCAGCCAUGCCGCGUGUGUGAAGAAGGCCUUAUGGUUGUAAAGCACUUUAAGCGAGGAGGAGGCUCUUUUGGUUAAUACCCAAGAUGAGUGGACGUUACUCGCAGAAUAAGCACCGGCUAACUCUGUGCCAGCCGCCGCGGUAA
This 503-nucleotide ribosomal RNA is filed under the name uncultured bacterium. Its description in RNAcentral is "partial 16S ribosomal RNA". It matches the Rfam family "Bacterial small subunit ribosomal RNA", at positions 30 to 523 of the family's 1533-position model. The record is from RNAcentral.